ACGGUCGCGUAACACGUAAGCAACCUACCUUAAAGUUGGGGAUAGCCCGCCGAAAGGCGGAUUAAUACCGAAUGUGGACACUUAUUCGCAUGUAUAAGUGUUUGAAGCAGCAAUGCGCUUUAAGAUGGGCUUGCGGCCUAUCAGCUAGUUGGCGGGGUAACGGCUCACCAAGGCGACGACGGGUAGCUGGUCUGAGAGGAUGGUCAGCCGGACUGGGACUGAGAUACGGCCCAGACUCCUACGGGGGGCAGCAAUUAGGAAUCUUGCGCAAUGGGCGAAAGCCUGACGCAGCGACGCCGCGUGACUGAUGAAGUCCUUCGGGAUGUAAAGGUCUUUUGCAGGGGAAGAAGGAUGUGACGGUACCCUGCGAAUAAGCUCCGGCUAACUACGUGCCAGCAGCCGCGGUAAUACGUAGGGAGCGAGCGUUGUCCGAAUUCACUGGGCGUAAAGCGCGCGUAGGCGGGUUUUUAAGUUGGGGGUGAAAUCCCGGAGCUUAACUCCGGAACUGCCUCCAAAACUGGGAGCCUUGAGGUAUGGAGAGGGAAGUGGAAUUCCAGGU
This 559-nucleotide ribosomal RNA is filed under the name uncultured bacterium. Its description in RNAcentral is "bacterial SSU rRNA". It matches the Rfam family "Bacterial small subunit ribosomal RNA", at positions 102 to 674 of the family's 1533-position model. The record is from RNAcentral.